CUUUGACCUUCCAGGCUCUCCACGCAAGCCAGUCAGAACACCUUGCUGUCAUGACUCGACUACACAGCCAGCUACAUGUCCCAGAACCUCUACACUCUGAAAGACCAGCCCUAAACAACAGCGGUGAACCUAAAGAAGAAGAGGUAUCUUGCUGCCGACCCAAACUGCAGUUAGACAAUCAAAGAGGGGCCGUUGAGAAAUGGACAGCCAAGACUUCGGGCCCAGCCUAGGCCAGGUGCAGCAGACAAAUCGGUCACAAGACUCCUCUACACAAAGGACCUGCCAAGCACCGAGACCCUCAGACCUCACAGCCACACACAGCCCCCCUGCAGAAGUUUAAAACCUGCAAUGAGAUAUACUGGCUGAGAGCAGAAC
Molecule: long non-coding RNA, 375 nt
Organism: Polyodon spathula (Mississippi paddlefish)
Lineage: Eukaryota; Metazoa; Chordata; Actinopteri; Acipenseriformes; Polyodontidae
Exons: 2
Source: RefSeq, a predicted model, not a curated record